GACGAACGCUGGCGGCAUGCCUAAUACAUGCAAGUCGAGCGAACAGAUGAAGUGCUUGCACUUCUGACGUUAGCGGCGAACGGGUGAGUAACACGUAAGGAAUCUACCUAUAAGCGGGGGAUAACAUUUGGAAGCGGGUGCUAAUACCGCAUAAUAUCUUCUUCCGCAUGGAAGAAGAUUGAAAGACGGCUCUGCUGUCACUUAUAGCUGACCUUACGGUGCAUUAGUUAGUUGGUGGGGUAACGGCCUACCAAGACGAUGAUGCAUAGCCGACCUGAGAGGGUGAUCGGCCACAUUGGGACUGAGACACGGCCCAAACUCCUACGGGAGGCAGCAGUAGGGAAUCUUCCGCAAUGGGCGAAAGCCUGACGGAGCAAUGCCGCGUGAGUGAAGAAGGCCUUCGGGUCGUAAAACUCUGUUAUAAGAGAAGAACAAAUUGUAGAGUAACUGCUACAGUCUUGACGGUAUCUUAUCAGAAAGCCACGGCUAACUACGUGCCAGCCGCCGCAGUAA
Molecule: ribosomal RNA, 513 nt
Filed under: uncultured bacterium
Lineage: Bacteria
Description: partial 16S ribosomal RNA
Rfam family: Bacterial small subunit ribosomal RNA
Source: RNAcentral